Chrysoperla carnea is the source of this 426-nucleotide long non-coding RNA. RefSeq lists it as uncharacterized. The record is from RefSeq and is a predicted model, not a curated record. NCBI's taxonomy places the organism in Eukaryota, Metazoa, Arthropoda, Insecta, Neuroptera, Chrysopidae. The transcript is spliced from 4 exons.
GCCACAAAAGUGUAAACAUCGAUCAAAAUGGCUGCCUUUUAUUUAGUUUACUAAUUUAUUGUGCAUUUGUUGUGUUGUUACGAUAAUAAUUAGUUGUUAUUAGUUAAAAAUUUAAGAAAUAUAACUUAAACAUGGUCCAGACGUGUCGAUGAAGAUUUUCGUGUUAUUGCACUUGGAUUGCCUGUUCCAAGAUACACUGGUAAUUUAUUGGAUCCAUACCGUUAAGAUCAAGAUUUCAAGCACGAGAUGUAUCCCAUCUUAGUUACCAGCUUGGUGCGAACUUUGGGGUGCAGGACGUGGUUUUGUUUGUACAGAUUGCAGUGAGUUGCCACAGAUUUUAAAACAAAUUUUUACAGCAUCUGUUCUACGAUAACGAUAACGAUAACGAUAAAGAUAGAUUUAUUAUUAAAUUCUAGUUCGAUUUAA